GACGAACGCUGGCGACGUGCCUAAUACAUGCAAGUUGAGCGCUGAAGGUUGGUACUUGUACCAACUGGAUGAGCAGCGAACGGGUGAGUAACGCGUGGGGAAUCUGCCUUUGAGCGGGGGACAACAUUUGGAAACGAAUGCUAAUACCGCAUAAAAACUUUAAACACAAGUUUUAAGUUUGAAAGAUGCAAUUGCAUCACUCAAAGAUGAUCCCGCGUUGUAUUAGCUAGUUGGUGAGGUAAAGGCUCACCAAGGCGAUGAUACAUAGCCGACCUGAGAGGGUGAUCGGCCACAUUGGGACUGAGACACGGCCCAAACUCCUACGGGAGGCAGCAGUAGGGAAUCUUCGGCAAUGGACGAAAGUCUGACCGAGCAACGCCGCGUGAGUGAAGAAGGGUGUCGGAUCGUAAAACUCUGUUGGUAGAGAAGAACGUUGGUGAGAGUGGAAAGCUCAUCAAGUGACGGUAACUACCCAGAAAGGGACGGCUAACUACGUG
RNAcentral lists this ribosomal RNA (497 nucleotides) under uncultured bacterium. Its description in RNAcentral is "partial 16S ribosomal RNA". It matches the Rfam family "Bacterial small subunit ribosomal RNA", at positions 28 to 507 of the family's 1533-position model. The record is from RNAcentral.